GAUGAAGAACUUAGCGAAAUGCGAUACUUGGUGUGAAUUGCAGAAUCCCGUGAACCAUCGAGUCUUUGAACGCAAGUUGCGCCCGAAGCCAUCAGGUUGAGGGCACGUCUGCCUGGGCGUCACAUAUCGUUGCCCAAUGCCUAUUGCAGUGCAAUAGGAAUUUCUAGGGCGAAUGAUGGCUUCCCGUGAGCGUUGUUGCCUCGCGGUUGGUUGAAAAUCGAGUCCUUGGUAGGGUGUGCCAUGGUAGAUGGUGGUCGAGUUAGAACGAUACCGAUCAUGUGCAUGCUCCCCAAAAUAUGGCCUCUAUGACCCACACGCGUCUUUUGACGCUCAUGACGAGACCUCAGGUCAGGCGGGGCUACCCGCUGAAUUUAAGCAUAUCAAUAAGCGGAGGA
Molecule: unclassified non-coding RNA, 395 nt
Filed under: soil metagenome
Description: partial contains 5.8S ribosomal RNA, internal transcribed spacer 2, and large subunit ribosomal RNA
Rfam family: 5.8S ribosomal RNA (bases 1-122)
Source: RNAcentral